This is a long non-coding RNA of Oryctolagus cuniculus (rabbit), 1824 nucleotides long. NCBI's taxonomy places the organism in Eukaryota, Metazoa, Chordata, Mammalia, Lagomorpha, Leporidae. The record is from Ensembl.
AUGGCGCUCAUUGUCCACCCUUCGGCGAGACACGCGAGAGGGGCUGCCAUGGGCUACACCACGAGGUGCGGCGCCGGAGUGUGUGCCCCCCCCCACCUCCGCCACCGGCCAGCGUCCACGCGGACGCACCGGCCCCUGCCGCCCCGCAAGUCCCUUUCCGCCCGGGCCUUGCAGCCUCCGGGGCACGCUGCGGCGGAGAAAAGUCAUUGUCACCUUCAACGUGGAUCCCUCAACUCCGCGACUCCCCGGUCAUUUCCAGGCUCCGCGCACUCCCCCCCACCCCAGGACUUUCGGUUUGCCUCAGAUACCCGCCCCGGUGGGGGAAGCAGGCACCCGAGACGCGUGUAUACAAAAGGACCCGGGGGCUGGCGAUCGCGGAAACGGGGCGCCCGGCAUGCCACCUCCCAGACAAAACUUCCUGUGUGUGCGUGUGCGGUGAGCGUGUCGGCUGUGUGUGCAAGGACGGGGAGGUGGGUGAGCUGGAGACAGAGGACACCCCACUCGGAAAUCAAAGCCUCGGCACGCAGUCCUGCAGCCCAGCGACCGUCAGAGUUCGCUCACCUUCCCGAGGCAGCCGUUCCACGCGCGAUCAGGCUCCCGAGGUGCGCGGUGCACGCAGGCCGGCCCCCUCCAGGCACUCCGUCCUCCUCCUCCGCCGCCGCCGCCGCCGCCUUGUCUAGAAAGAUUGUCUCCUGCAGUUCUGCAGUUGCUACCGCGGCCCGGGAAGGUGUAGAUUCCGCUUUCGUUCUGCGCACGCGCGCUCCCGGGGCAAGAAAUUCUCUUGAAUCGGGCUCAUUUGCAUGCGGGCGCGCGCGCGUCGCGGGCGGGGCGGGGAGGAGGCGAGGCGGCCGCGCGCGCUCCCGGGGCCUCUAUUGUCCUUUUAAGGGGAGAAGCGCCGCGGCGCGGGAAACGCGGCGGCCCGCGGGCGGCGGGGGCGGGGCCUGCUUACUACGGCAACGUCGCGUAAACAAACGCCCGCGGCGGGACGCGGUGGACCCGUGGGCCGCGGCGGGGGUGGGCGUGGGGAGCGCGGAGUGUUGGAGGCCGGUUUUGCUGGCACCUGUGACUUGCGACAGCGCGCGGGCAGAGUGCACACGCUGCCUCGGUUUGGCUGCAAGUUGCGUGUUCGCAGCUUUUUGGAAACGCGUGCGCGAGUCCCCCGGAGCCCGCAGGAGCCCGUGUCCGCGCGGUCACGCUUGGACUGCGCGUGUGGCCGCCGGCUCCCGCUGGCCCCUCUCCCCCAGGGUAGCCCACGCACCCCAACUCGUGCAACUCGGAGACCACGCCACGAACGGGCGUGCUCGUAUGGGGACGCAGCCGGGGACGCGCAGGCUCUGUGCACCCGCACCCACGCCCGGAGGAUCCCCUCGCGGAAGUCACCUUGCUCCGGUGCGCGGGGCACCUGCCCCAGGCCGCGGGAGGCUGCGGGGAAAGGCUGUUCGUCCCAGAAACGGCAUUCUAGUCCCCAGCCGCAGACGUGAGACGGUCAGCCGUGCCGGCCAGUGUCCACGCGCGGAGUUAGGUCGAUACUUGGGAAACGCGGGUGUGACACAGCCAGUGCCUGCCGCCGACGCGGAAGCGCCCGAGCCCCCGCGGCUGCUUCUUCCUCAGGUCCUGCACCUGCAAGCGGAGCUCCCGCAGGGCCCACGCCUCGCCCAGGAGAGGGGCUCCCUCGCGGCGUCUGGCUUCCCUGUUCCAGGGCCUGGGUCCGUCCGUGGGCAGUGGGCAGUGUGCUCCUGCGGACCGCAGCUCGAUCGCGGGCUCCCGCAGCCUCGCAGUCUGAUAGAUGACCUAAGUCACUCUGCACGUGCAGGGUCAGCUUGA